This is a long non-coding RNA of Eriocheir sinensis (Chinese mitten crab), 1109 nucleotides long. RefSeq lists it as uncharacterized. The record is from RefSeq and is a predicted model, not a curated record. NCBI's taxonomy places the organism in Eukaryota, Metazoa, Arthropoda, Malacostraca, Decapoda, Varunidae. The transcript has 3 exons.
UAUAUAUACACACACACACACACACACACACACACACACACACACACACACACACACACACACACACACACACACACACACACACACACACACACACACACACACACACACACACACACACACACACACACACACACACACACACACACACACACACACACACACACACACACACACACACACAGACACACACACACACACACACACACAGACACACACACACACACACACACACACAGACACACACACACACACACACACACACACACACACACACACACACACACACACACACACACACACACACACACACACACACACACACACACACAAACACACAUGAAGUAAUGAGUAUAUGUUGCUCUUAAUCAUACUUAUGCAAUAACAUUUUCCCUUUAUAAUUCGUUUCCUUCCUUUCCUACAAGUAGUGCUGCUUCAUGCACGGAGGAGCAGCACAGCACUAUUCCAAGGAAGGUGCUGCUUCACAAGCACUGUCCCGGUUGCCUCCUUCUCAGCUCUCCCCUGCCUCUCUCUGCCGGCCCGUCGCGGCCACCCUCGCCCGACGCAAGGCCCAGACUUAGGGAAACGGGCCAACGCCCUCCAUUACCACCACUGACUGAGGGACUCGCCAGACGCACCCAGGCUUCUGCUCACCCCGAAACCAGACCUCAUUGGCUGGUCAGAGAACGACCCCAGGAGCUAAGAAGGAGAGAGAGGCCUUCCAGCAGAGUAAGACCCGAGCAGGCCAGACCACCAUCACUCCGAGUAUCACAAGACCUUCCUCAAUCAAGAUCAAGGUCAGGCUCCGUGGCUCUAGAAGAAUGACACUGUUCGGCGCAAGUGUUCAUCUCCACGGCCUGAGAUGAGACUAAGCCUGCGGUGGGUGGAGGAGGAGCAGCCGCGGCCCCGUACUCUGUGGUGUGUGUCUGGCAGGCGGGAAGAACGGUGGGCGAAACUCUGCGGAGAUCCAUCGAACACAACCACGCAGGUGACCCUCAUCAAUCAACACUCCCUUCCAGUUCACAUCUCCACCAAAAUUACACUAUAAAUAUAACAUUUGCCAAAUCAAUGCCUCAAUAAUGUAAGUUUAAUGCAGUUAUGCAGCAACA